GGAUGACCGCUGGCGGCGUGCCUACUACAUGCAAGUCGAGCGAACAGACGAGGAGCUUGCUUCUCUGACGUUAGCGGCGGACGGGUGAGUAACACGUGGAUAACCUACCUAUAAGACUGGGAUAACUUCGGGAAACCGGAGCUAAUACCGGAUAAUAUAUUGAACCGCAUGGUUCAAUAGUGAAAGACGGUUUUGCUGUCACUUAUAGAUGGAUCCGCGCCGCAUUAGCUAGUUGGUAAGGUAACGGCUUACCAAGGCAACGAUGCGUAGCCGACCUGAGAGGGUGAUCGGCCACACUGGAACUGAGACACGGUCCAGACUCCUACGGGAGGCAGCAGUAGGGAAUCUUCCGCAAUGGGCGAAAGCCUGACGGAGCAACGCCGCGUGAGUGAUGAAGGUCUUCGGAUCGUAAAACUCUGUUAUUAGGGAAGAACAAAUGUGUAAGUAACUAUGCACGUCUUGACGGUACCUAAUCAGAAAGCCACGGCUAACUACGUG
RNAcentral lists this ribosomal RNA (498 nucleotides) under uncultured bacterium. RNAcentral describes it as "partial 16S ribosomal RNA". It matches the Rfam family "Bacterial small subunit ribosomal RNA", at positions 27 to 507 of the family's 1533-position model. The record is from RNAcentral.